CCUACGGGGGGCUGCAGUGGGGAAUAUUGGACAAUGGGCGCAAGCCUGAUCCAGCCAUGCCGCGUGAGUGAAGAAGGCCUUCGGGUUGUAAAGCUCUUUCAGACGGGAAGAUGAUGACGGUACCGUCAGAAGAAGCCCCGGCUAACUUCGUGCCAGCAGCCGCGGUAAUACGAAGGGGGCUAGCGUUGUUCGGAAUUACUGGGCGUAAAGCGCGCGUAGGCGGCUUUGUCAGUCAGGGGUGAAAUCCCGGGGCUCAACCUCGGAAUUGCCUUUGAUACUGCAAGGCUUGAAUCCGUGAGAGGGUGGUGGAAUAUCCAGUGUAGAGGUGAAAUUCGUAGAUAUUGGAUGGAACACCAGUGGCGAAGGCGGCCACCUGGCACGGUAUUGACGCUGAGGUGCGAAAGCGUGGGGAGCAAACAGGCUUAGAUACCCCGGUAGUC
RNAcentral lists this ribosomal RNA (440 nucleotides) under uncultured Rhodospirillaceae bacterium. Its description in RNAcentral is "bacterial SSU rRNA". It matches the Rfam family "Bacterial small subunit ribosomal RNA", at positions 338 to 795 of the family's 1533-position model. The record is from RNAcentral. Lineage: Bacteria; Pseudomonadati; Pseudomonadota; Alphaproteobacteria; Rhodospirillales; Rhodospirillaceae.